UAAGGAAUAUUGGACAAUGGGCGCAAGCCUGAUCCAGCCAUGCCGCGUGCAGGAAGAAGGACCUAUGGUCUGUAAACUGCUUUUAUACAAGAGAAAACCCAUCUACGUGUAGAUGGCUGAUAGUAUUGUAAGAAUAAGCAUCGGCUAACUUCGUGCCAGCAGCCGCGGUAAGACGAAGGAUGCAAGCGUUAUCCGGAUUCAUUGGGUUUAAAGGGUGCGUAGGCGGACUGAUAAGUCAGUGGUGAAAUCUCAUAGCUUAACUAUGGAACUGCCAUUGAUACUGUUAGUCUAGAGUACAGUUGCCGUUGGCGGAAUAUGACAUGUAGUGGUGAAAUACUUAGAUAUGUCAUAGAACACCGAUUGCGAAGGCAGCUAACGAAGCUGUAACUGACGCUGAGGCACGAAAGUGCGGGGAUCAAACAGGAUUAGAUACCCCCGUAGUCC
Molecule: ribosomal RNA, 444 nt
Filed under: uncultured bacterium
Lineage: Bacteria
Description: bacterial SSU rRNA
Rfam family: Bacterial small subunit ribosomal RNA
Source: RNAcentral